UACGCUGCACGCAGCAAUGGUGCUUUGUGGCUGCGUGCGCGGCCAGAAGGCUAAGAGGGAAAUCGGUCCAAGCCGAUGCUGCCCCCGCAACUGUAAGCUGAGAGGGCUUGCGGCGUUCAUGCCACUUUCUGUGCCAGCCACAGGGGGGAAGGCAGCCGCAGGACCCGAAGACCAGCAAGCCAGGAGACCUGCCAUUGCGCCAAAGUCACG
RNAcentral lists this non-coding RNA (210 nucleotides) under Acetobacter persici. Lineage: Bacteria; Pseudomonadati; Pseudomonadota; Alphaproteobacteria; Acetobacterales; Acetobacteraceae. The record is from RNAcentral.